GGGACUUGCUCUGAGGCCUGGGAGCUGACGUACGCAGAGAUGACAGAAAUAACAGGAUUCUGCCCGAGGGCUCCAGAUUUCUCCAGACACAAAGGCUGGAUGCGAAUUCGUGGGAUCAGGCUACACGGCCCUACCCAGUCUGUGUGCUUCCGGCCAGAGAAAAUGUAGCAAAGCCUGUUUUCCAACGUGAGCUUGUACACGCCACGCUCACCAUCUCCGUGCAGAAUUCUGCAGCUCCUGGCUGAGACCUGCGCAGAGAACAGAGAGACGCAGACAGUAGAAUCUACUUUGAAAAUCUGGGGUCAGGAAGAAGGUAUCACUACUCCUCCCGUGAGGCCCUGUAAUUCAAGUUUCCUAACCCAUCAUGCCUCUUUACCAGCCUGCCCUUGGAAAACAACAGCGAAGAGCUUGAGUGAAUGCCAGGUGAUUCUAUUUGGCUCAACAAAUAUUUGUUAAGGCGUCUGCUGAAUGCCAGGCACGGCGACGGGUUCCAGCAAUUACUGCCUGCAGCCUGUGCCUGUGAACUGGUUGGCCAUGUUAGCUGUUAGUUAGCAGGGGACAAAAGGACUGAAGGCCAAGCCAAACCUUUUCAAAGAGCAUCCCAUAUGGCCCACCAUGAGAAAGAGGCAGAAACAUAAGGGGAUCCUCUCUCAGGAGAACUCUUUGGCGUGGCUGCUCAUCUUGCCUUCUGAAUCAGAGUAGAGUCCACAGAGCUUGGGAUCUCAGGUCUAAAGGCUUGGUUCAAUUCCUCCACUUAAGGGAACAAAUGGACGAGCAUCUGACCGCUGAGUCUCAGCUUCCGUUAACAUGGCAUGAAAAUAACACUCGCUCUGCCUGGCAUGAGAUGCUGUAGUGUGGGCCAGUACUCACUCUCUCAAUCUCUCUGUCUCUGUCUCUCCCUGUCUCUGUCUCUCCCUGUCUCUGUCUCUCUCAAUCUCUCUGUCUCUGUCUCUCCCUGUCUCUGUCUCUCCCUGUCUCUGUCUCUGUCUCUCCCUGUCUCUCUCAAUCUCUCUGUCUCUGUCUCUCUGUCUCUGUCUCUCUCAAUCUCUCUGUCUCUGUCUCUCCCUGUCUCUGUCUCUGUCUCUCCCUAUCUCUCUGUCUCUGUCUCUCUCAAUCUCUCUGUCUCUGUCUCUCCCUGUCUCUGUCUCUGUGUGUCUGUGUGUGUGUGUCUGUGUGUGUGUGUGUGUGCGCCUGUGAGAGAGAGAGAGAGAGAGAGAGAGAGAGAGAGAGAGCGCGAGCGAGCCCUGGAGAUUCCCAGUCAGUACAUGUGGGUGGGCCUGAGAUUCUGCAUAUCUAACAUGCUCCCUGCCAAUGCUUCUGAGGACAGGCCAGGGAUUGUGCUUUGAGUAGAAGAAUACAAACCACUUGUUAGUCAGAUAGAAUGCGUGGAAUAGAUGCCUAUGAUGGCACACCCCUUUUUUUUUUUUUUUUUUUUUUUUUUUGGAGCUGGGGACCGAACCCAGGGCCUUGCGCUUCCUAGGUAAGCGCUCUACCACUGAGCUAAAUCCCCAGCCCCUGAUGGCACACCCCUUAAUCUUAGCACUUGGGAGGUAGAGGACGGUGGAUCUCUAUGAGUUCAAGGCCAACCUGGUCUACAGAGCAAGUUUCAGGAUAGCCGGAGCUAUAUAGACAGACCUUGUCUCCAAAAGAAAAAAAAAAGAAAGAAAAGAAAGAAAGAAAAGAAAAGAGAAGGAAAAAAGAAAGAAAAGAUGGACUAAUAUACAGUGCAGACUACGUAAAUAUUGAAAAUGCGUUCAGAAUCCCCUCAGAGCCCUACUAAUUGAUGAGAACUAGGACUUCUAUGGCAUGGUCACACCACACUCUGGUGAAAUCAUUAGAAGAUAUUAAUCCAUCCAAACUCAGAAGUUUGGUCAAAGGGUGAAAUAAAAGGAGGUUGGAGGAGAUGGCUAAAUGGACAUACGGGUAAAUUUCAGAUCUCCAGAAUCCAUAUUAGAAGCCAUGAAUUUCUGAUACGGGCAAAGAGAUAAUUCAAUGGUCAAGAAUUCUGGGAUUAAAGGCAAGCACCACAAUGUUCACCCAUGAAAUCCCAAGACUGGACCAGAUGAUGCUAAACUGGACUUCAUCCAAAUUGUACAAAGAUACCUCUGAGAACAUUUCAUCCCUUCUCUGGAUACUGACGUCACACAUGAUGACAAAUAGCUUCCCUGUUCUUCCAGGUGCCUUCAGGAAACAUUUCUUUACUUCCCUAAUAAAAGCGGCCUGCUUACUCACAUCCUCAAGAGUAUCAACUAGUUAAUAUUUGUGUGACUCGGGGGCUUUCCUAGUCCCAAGUUGUCUGGAAGAAAUGAGCUUCACUCUGCUCAGUCCAGUUACAGUGAGGUGAUCCUGUUCUUAGCCCCUGCAGGCCUAAGCUUCCAAGGGACAAAAUGGGGUACAACUGAGGCACUUGCUGAGUUAUAUAGAAAAUGUCACAAUUAUAAUAAAAGCAAGAAAGCAGCAGGCCUGGUGACACACACGCCUUGCAUCCCAGCGCUCGAAGGUAGAAGCAGGUGGAUCUCUGAGUUCGAGACCAGCCUGGUUUGCACUGCGAAUUCCGGGCCAAGCAAGGCCAUAUAGUGAAGCCCUGUUUCAAAAAAAACAAAAGCAAGAAAGACCCUGUUUUUAGGUUGACAUUAUCCCUGUGGGUUUUUUUACCUGCAUUUAAAAACACUUGUUAGUUUCUGCCUUCUCUUAACCUAUAGGGUUAGGUUCAACAAGAAUUAAAGAAAAGGGGACUGGAGAGAUGGCUCAGUGGUUAAGAGCACUGACUGCUCUUCCAGAGGUCCUGAGUUCAAUUCCCAGCAACCACAUGGUGGCUCACAACCAUCUGUAAUGGGAUCAAGGUCCUCUUACGGUGUGUCUGAAGACAGCUACAAUGUACUCAUUAUAUAUACAAAAUAAAUAAACAAAUAAAAAAGAAUUGAAGAAAAGCAAACAAGGUUAUAACCAGAGUCUUAGAGCCUAUUUCCCUCCAAAAUGUCUCUGGAAAGCAGCUGGGUUGGGGACUCCAGCUCUAUUCCAAACCUGUUGAAACAGAGGGGAGUCUGGCCUAAAGGAGGAAGGCCCGGGACAAAUGAGUGGCGACAGUUUAUCUGAAGCUGGCGCUGGCUUCAUUAAGAGGCCUGGUGCGGUUUAUCUGCUUCUUGUCCACAGAGCCAGCUGCUCUGAGCACUGAGUCAGGGCCUGUCACCAGCCCAGUCCCGGUGGCGUCAGGUUGGAAGGUUCUGAAACCAUGAGUCCCCUCCCUUCCUCCUCUUCAAUCUCCUCUGGUCUCUAACUGCCUGUCCUCAAGGGGUCAGAUAAGAGCUGUGAUUGCUGGAAAGAAGCUCGAGGCCCUGUGUCCUUGGGGACAGUGAGUCUUCCCCACAACCAUUUGACUGCUCCAGUAAAGGAGGUAAAGGACAGAGAGACUGCUCUUGGCUUUAAUGCAAGCCAAGGCACUUGUAUUAAAUUGCCUUUGUCCAUGGCACAGUCUCAGGAUGCGCUAUGGGAUAAACUUCCAUAGUUCAUAAGAAGAAGCCCAGAAUGCAAAGCUGGUGUUGGUUGCUUGGUUUUAAAGCUAGGAUCUCACGAAGCAGCCAGACUGGCCUCAAAUUCAUCUGAAGCAGAAGCUGACCUUGCACUCCUGAGCCUAUGUCUCCUGUUACAAGCACGUGCAACUACACCCUGUCCAAAGCCUCUUCCUUAUAUUCCCCAAGAGCUUGGGAGAAAACUCGAGAACAAAACACAAACAUUCUGAGUCCUAGACUAGCCCUUCCUGAGCUAGCAAGGCUCAGUCCUUCCCUCAACUGUCAUUAAAUCCCCAGCAGGUGUGGCUGAGAGCCAAGGUGUAUCAUGUGAUUCCAUUGCACUCUGUAGCCCAGCUCUUGAGAACCAUCCUACAACAGGUGCUAAAACAUCCUACAGCAUAAGCUAAAAAUGAAAAGCAAGCGCUCUACCACUAAGCUGCACCCUCAGCCUCAACUAUAUGCCAUAGACCUGAAAAACUGAGAUGACCGACUUCUCCUGUACCAAAGAACACCAUUGACAUGUCCUGCUAUUGAAAUUUGCUUCCAAGUGGCCAUUGCAUUUCCCAAGGGAGGUAAAAGACAGUAAAUGCAUUUACCCAAGUCAAGGAAAUGGUUGCUUUAAUGGAAGUGUGGGUCUUUAAAACCCUCUAAAUCUGCCAGGACCCAGGGAAUUCCAAGUUCAGCGUCUUUGGUUUGUCCGGGGGGCAGGGGGAUGGGGAAAUCCUGCUUGCUCUACAAUAUCUGCCUCCCUUCCCAGUACCUCAUGUUCAAGAGUCAAGAUUAUCACCAAGAGAAACUAGAAACAGCAAUAUUCCUAAGAACUUUCUCGCUGGUAUCUGAGAGCCUGUAAUCCUCUUUCUCUGUAACAGAGAAGCCAGACACCAGUGCAUGCACCCAGAAUAGCAAGUAGAGUCACGGCAGAGAGGAUUGCAGAUUUGGCCAGGAGACAGCCAGGCUCAAAGGGUACAGGGGCAAAGACCUCGGAAAGGUGAGGCUGUCAGCCGGGGUGGUGCUGCCCGUUUGGGAGUUUGCCGGCUCUCUCCAGUGAAGAUGCUAUUAAGAACUUUCAGAAGCAGCUGAUUUAGGGAGCCCUACUCAGAAGGCAAUGUUCCCUUACACUAACUACGUAUUUGUUGGCCCCUUGAGGACUGAAGAGGAGAAAGUGCCUGAGCUGGGAUGCUGGAUCUCUCCAAACCACAGGACCUGAUGUGGGGGUCAGCGCAAGUGACGACCCAGAGACAAUUUGACACCGCGCUGUCUGAGCAACACGCUGGUGUGCACCCUCGGACCGUGUCGCCUGUGUGGCCUGUCUGCAACUGCAGGCUGCUGUGGACUUGGGAUUCUGGAGCCAAGCUAUCUGUGUUUAAAUCUCCCCUCUCCUUGUUAUUAGCUGUUUACCUAAUCUCUCUAAGCCUCUGCUUCCUUGUAUGUUAAAUGGAUGUAAUGAGAGUAUUUACCUCUUGGGAUUAAGUAAGAUCAAGUGCUCAGCACAGGGCUUGGGUCCAUGCUAAGCACCUCGUAAAAGUUAGCUCCAAUCACUUCUUUCUUUCUUGGGGCUUUUAGGGGAGGGAUUCCACCCUUUCAGAUGCCUAUGUCUAGCCCAGAAGGACUUUCCCUUUGCUGUCUGUUCCCUUCAUUAUAAAAUGAGAUUAGCUCUAAUGUCCUCAGCCCAGAAAAUGUCCUUUCUCUCUUAGUUCCUUGGAGGAAAAAGGGGGCAGAUGGGUUAUUUCGGUCACUACUUCCAAAACUCUGUAAACAGAGAAAGAGCAGAAAGCCUAGCCGGCCAAAUACCUGGAAUUCAGGGCCCACUUGGCCUCUUCUGUCACCCCUCACAGUUCCUCUGCCCGGGCUCCACCCAGCCCUGUUGCCCCUGGCAACUGAGAUGGGGGGUGGGCAGCUCCAAGAAAGGUCGGGAGAAAGGUAUGUGAAGCCUGUAAGUGGCUCUCCCCAGCUCCUCAGAAAGCUGCUUAUCAGGGACUGAAACACUGGCCCAAGCUUGCCACGACAGCAGGAGCUGCCUGAGAAGAGAGGCUGAGAUAAAUGAAGUAUCCUUCAUCCCCAUCAGCGCGGGCCAGACAGAAACCAGGUGCGAGGCAGCGAGCCUUCAUCUUCUGUAAACAAUCUUCCACCGCCCACUGCAGCAGCUAGAGGGUGAGAUGGGGAUUAGAGGAACAGCUUCUGCAGGCCUGGGGCCUCUCAGCUGGACAGAGAGUUAAAGGGUACUGGAGAGAUAGCUUGCUGCCAGGGAAAGAUGCUUGAGGAAACGCAGCCGUUUGUCAACAGGGGGCUCGCUGGACCUGGCAGGAGAGAAUCUGAUAUCUAAACAGUUCCCUGUGUCUCUGAAGCACUCUGAAAAGUUCGCCAGCUAAAUAUUUGAUUCCACAGCAGAUAACAGCCCCGGGCUCUUCCCACGGGCUUGAGAAAACUGGCCCUAGAGAGGCCUGGACUUGGCUAAAACCAGACAGGGCUGGAGGUGAGGUAGGCACAUCCUUGCCCAGUUAGGGGCCAAGACAGGACCUCGCUGUAAAUCCAUGAAGAGGAUUGGAGUCUAACUCCCUCUCCAAGGAGAUUCUUCCCUCCUGAUUCUGCACCUGCUCUCUACUCACGACCCUUUUCUUCAACAAAGGUUUCUCUUGCAAGAAAAAUAACCAUGACCCCUGUGCCCGGAUGGAAGAGAGACGCGAAUUUCAUCAACCGGAAGUUACAAAACAAAGCUAAGUGCUCGAAUCCCCUCAGGGAGGUGGAGGCAGUCCGGCCUGGCAGCGGGAAAGAGCUUUUCUGUUUAUAAAUCUUUAGCUUUCCAGCAAUGUUGAGAAUGGCGUCUCUAGUUCCAAGGUCUUCCGGAGAUAAGAGAAUGCACGUCCAUUGCAAAGCAGUAUUGCCUCCGAGAGAUGGACAAAUGUUGGAAGGCAGCAGAGACUUACAGGAGCUCCUGGGCCUUGAGUUCAAGCCUCAGCUCUGCUCCUGUCUCCAGGUUCCUGCCCUGUGUGAGUUCCAGUCCUGACUUCCUUUGGUGAUGAACAGCAAUGUGGAAGUGUAAGCUGAAUAAACCCUUUCCUCCCCAA
This is a non-coding RNA of Rattus norvegicus (Norway rat), 6574 nucleotides long. The record is from RefSeq and is a predicted model, not a curated record. NCBI's taxonomy places the organism in Eukaryota, Metazoa, Chordata, Mammalia, Rodentia, Muridae.